RNAcentral lists this ribosomal RNA (254 nucleotides) under uncultured bacterium. RNAcentral describes it as "partial 16S ribosomal RNA". It matches the Rfam family "Bacterial small subunit ribosomal RNA", at positions 524 to 776 of the family's 1533-position model. The record is from RNAcentral.
UACGGGGGGAGCAAGCGUUGUUCGGAUUUACUGGGCGUAAAGGGCGCGUAGGCGGUCGUGACAAGUCACUUGUGAAAUCUCCGGGCUUAACUCGGAACGGUCAAGUGAUACUGUCGGACUAGAGUCCGGAAGAGGCAAGUGGAAUUCCCGGUGUAGCGGUGAAAUGCGCAGAUAUCGGGAGGAACACCAAUGGCGAAGGCAGCUUGCUGGGACGGUACUGACGCUGAGACGCGAAAGCGUGGGGAGCAAACAGG